Molecule: ribosomal RNA, 606 nt
Filed under: uncultured Bacilli bacterium
Lineage: Bacteria; Bacillati; Bacillota; Bacilli
Description: bacterial SSU rRNA
Rfam family: Bacterial small subunit ribosomal RNA
Source: RNAcentral
CCUGUAAGACUGGGAUAACUCCGGGAAACCGGGGCUAAUACCGGAUGCUUGAUUGAACCGCAUGGUUCAAUCAUAAAAGGUGGCUUUCAGCUACCACUUACAGAUGGACCCGCGGCGCAUUAGCUAGUUGGUGAGGUAACGGCUCACCAAGGCGACGAUGCGUAGCCGACCUGAGAGGGUGAUCGGCCACACUGGGACUGAGACACGGCCCAGACUCCUACGGGAGGCAGCAGCAGGGAAUCUUCCGCAAUGGACGAAAGUCUGACGGAGCGACGCCGCGUGAGUGAUGAAGGUUUUCGGAUCGUAAAACUCUGUUGUUAGGGAAGAACAAGUACCGUUCGAAUAGGGCGGCACCUUGACGGUACCUAACCAGAAAGCCACGGCUAACUACGUGCCAGCAGCCGCGGUAAUACGUAGGUGGCAAGCGUUGUCCGGAAUUAUUGGGCGUAAAGCGCGCGCAGGCGGUUUCUUAAGUCUGAUGUGAAAGCCCCCGGCUCAACCGGGGAGGGUCAUUGGAAACUGGGGAACUUGAGUGCAGAAGAGGAGAGUGGAAUUCCACGUGUAGCGGUGAAUGCGUAGAGAUGUGGAGGAACACCAGUGGCGAAG